RNAcentral lists this ribosomal RNA (162 nucleotides) under uncultured bacterium. RNAcentral describes it as "partial 16S ribosomal RNA". It matches the Rfam family "Bacterial small subunit ribosomal RNA", at positions 1339 to 1500 of the family's 1533-position model. The record is from RNAcentral.
UAAUCGCAGGUCAGCAUACUGCGGUGAAUACGUUCCCGGGUCUUGUACACACCGCCCGUCACACCAUGGGAGCCGGAAAUGCCCGAAGCCAGUGACCCAACCUUAGGGAGGGAGCUGUCGAAGGUGGAGCCGGUAACUGGGGUGAAGUCGUAACAAGGUAUC